Molecule: long non-coding RNA, 1600 nt
Filed under: Homo sapiens (human)
Lineage: Eukaryota; Metazoa; Chordata; Mammalia; Primates; Hominidae
Description: non-protein coding HAGLR:35
Source: RNAcentral
GCCCCGCAGCCAAGUUAGCCAAAGCAGCCCAGGGCCGCCGCCCAGCGCCCCCGAGCCCCGAGGAGAGCCGUCGCGACCGGGGGCUGCCUGGGCAAGGGCGGGGCGAGAGGGCAGAACGCCUGCUCUCGGACAGAUCUGGGGACCCUUCACCUGCCUCUACUACUGCAAAUGAUUGGAUAUUCGUCUGACUUGGCUCUUCCCUAAUGUGUGGAACUAAUUUUGUUCACUCUGUUUCAUGCUGGACCUGGCCUGAAAAUGGGCCCUUAUAUUGUCUUUGCACUUUCCAACUUGCCAAGGCCUUCUGCAAGAGAGAUCUAAGAACCAGCCCUCAAAGAUGUUUCUGAAAGAAGGACCAAAGUAAUGCCAAGAACUCCCAGAUGAAGAGGACCUUCCUUAGACCUAUAACAGAUUCACUACUUGACUUCAGAGGGAAGUUUCAGCUAAUUCUCAGGAAAAGGUCAAAACAGGCCUGUGACUGUCCCUUGAAUACUGAAGGUAUAAACAAGCUUCUGGCUCCUCCAGGUCAAGCAGAGGAACACUUUUAUUAGAAUGAAGGGUUACUUCUUUGUUAUUCAAACACACACCCACACACAUCCUCUGUAGUCUCCCUAAUGAAAAACCUCAACAGAUGGAGAGCCUGAGCUCCCAAGUCCGCAGGCUGAGAAGAUGCACUUCACUCAAGGGCCAGUGGGCUGGUACAGACUAGGGAAGAGAAAAGGGACAAAGGCUGCUAGUAUAGGUAAUCACUAUCUUUUAAUACUCCUAACACAUAGAAAUUCGAAAAAUCUUGUUCAGCAAUGUUAGCAGCCUGUGAGCCUCGGAAACUAAUUUGGCUGAUGUGUCUCUGAUAGGGAGCUUGGGGCUGCACCAAGGGGAAACAUUCUCCUCCUGUAUUCUCUCCUCUCUCUCGUUUGAAAGCCUGUACAAAGAAAUGGUACAAAUGGAUGGUUAACUUAAUGAUUCCAUCAGAGGCAGAUUUUUCUCUGUCAGGUCCCUGGAUAAGGUGGAGGUCUGAAAGCCAGGAGACAGAAUAUGUACUUAAUCGCCCUUUCUGACCUGCUUACCAGUGACCAGGACUACUCUCCAGGCCUUUCUUCUGCCACUUCCCCAUUCUUCCUGGCUAGUUCAGUUGGGUCUCAGCACUUCAACUCCUGGCUGGAUCCUGAGUUUUUCUUGGUUGCAGGGAAAGCUCUCACUGUCUGCAUCUCCUUCCCCACCCCCACCUCCCGUUUUGCAGCUGGCCAUUCUGGCUGCCUCACAGCUAUCCUGCCUUAAUUCAUAUUUGAUUGCCUGGACAGAACCACCUAGAAUGUCCAGACGACUGCCACCCCUCAGCCAUGGGCCUGAGAUCCUGCCCUGACCCCUUUCUUCAGACCCCAGGAGGACCCACAAUCUCCCUGAUCCCCACCUUCCCCAAAGUAGUCUCUAGGAAAAAAGCAGAGCUGGCUAAGGCCUGAGACAGAGCCAUUUCUUCCCCUUGGGCAAACGAGGUAGACCCUCCCAGAGACCAAUGCCGGAGAGGCCCGGAUCCGAGCUCCCUUUAUAUGGCCUCCCCCAUCACGGAUCCCGUGGGAAAACCUGACACACAAUGGCGCGGCUG